This 23-nucleotide non-coding RNA is filed under the name Rattus norvegicus (Norway rat). Lineage: Eukaryota; Metazoa; Chordata; Mammalia; Rodentia; Muridae. The record is from RNAcentral.
UGGACAUAUUCAGAGACCCUUCC